GUGGCCUUGGUCCAUUCCAGGAUUUCAACAUCUAGCAACCUGGCGACGCUUCCAUGUAGGAAUUGAAUUAAGAGAGCACACAGGAGAGCAAACUCAUCUCACCCAUGGCUCAGCCUCAAGGUAAACUGAUGGACACGAUCAGAAGGCCGGUUGCAGCAGCUUCAUCUCUUCAUCAUUCAGCGGCUAAGCAUCUGGUCACCUUGGCCCAGAGGAAUGGAGUUAACAGGAGGUGCCUCCUCACUCUGCUGGUAUCCGCCGCAGCCAUACCUGAGGCCGGUGAAUCAAGAAAGGCCCUAUUGCAAGAUUAUGUGAAGAGAUCAAAGGAAAACAAAGAAAAGAAUGACAAGGAGAGGCGGGACGCCGUUUACAAAAGGAAUUACAAGGAUUAUUUCGGUUUCAUGGAAGGCCCGGUCAGAGAGAAGCCGGCGGAAGAGCUCACGGAGUCGGAGAAAGGAAUUCUUGCGUGGCUUGACAAGAACAAGUAGCUAGUGUUGGAACAUGGGAGGAACAUGCCAACCAAAUAGCUGAAACAGCUUUUUUCUGUAGGGAAAUUCCUUCCGCGGUGAAGUUCUCAAUGAGUUAAUAAGCUUAGCAUAUAGCACCUCACUUGCCUCUUAAACCUGGUGCAACUUGUUCUGUUUCAUCAUUGUUUCUUAUCUGUGCAGUAGCACAAAUUGUUGCUUGACAGUAUGUUUCAUGUUUGCAAAAUCAGAAAAAAUCAGAAAAUGGACAUCAUUAUACACAAAUUUGUACUAGUAUUUUGUACAGUACCCUGACAGUGGACAAGGGGACUUUUCUCUUGCUUCUUUUGUUAAUCAGAAUGCAAUACUAGAAAUUUGUUUGGGAAAUGCUGAGAUAAUGGUAAGAAAAAUAAUUCAAAUAUGUGGCCUAGAAAAAUAAAAAUAAAAUGCAGAUACCGGAAAGGCAAAAAGAUUUAAUGGAAGAAGGUAUACAUAUCAAACAGUCUGACGUGUGACUUGUCCAAAACCCAAGCAGGACUGCAUAUUGUCAGAUUUGCCCCUGUCUGUUUCCGUCCAGAGAAAAACCUGUGGCCUUGGUCCAUUCCAGGAUUUCAUCAUAUCAUAUCAUAUCAAGUAGCAGCAACCUGCCAUGUAGGAAAUCAAGAGAGCACACUGGAGAGCAAACUCAUCUCAUCCCAUGGCUCAGCCUCCAGGUAAACUGAUGGACACAAUCAGAAGGCCGGUCGCAGCAGCUUCAACCCUUCAUCAUUCAGCGGCGAAGCAUCUGGUCACCUUGGCUCAGAGGAACGGAGUUAACAGGAGGUGCCUCCUCACUCUGCUGGCAUCCGCCGCAGCCAUACCCGAGGCUAGCGAAUCAAGAAAGGCGCUAUUGCAAGAUUAUGUGAAGAGGUCAAAGGAAAACAAAGAAAAGAAUGACAAGGAGAGGCUGGACGACUUUUACAAGAGGAAUUACAAGGAUUAUUUUGGUUUCAUGGAAGGCUCGGUUAGAGAGAAGCCAGUGGAGGAGCUCACGGAGUCGGAGAAAGGAAUUCUCGCAUGGCUCGACAAGAACAAGUAGCUAGUGUUGAACAUGAGAGGAGCAGGCCAACCACCAAAUGGCUGAAACAGCUUUUCCGAUAGGAAAAUUCCUUCCCCGGUUAAGUUCUCAAGGAGUUAAUAAGCUUAGCAUUUAGCACCCCACUUGCCUCUUAAAUCUGGUGCAACUUUCUCCGUUUCAUCAUUGUCAUCUCAUCUGUGCAGCACAAAUCUUUGCUUGACCUGAUAUUAUGUUUCAUUUUUUGCAAAAUCAGAGAUUUUCGUAAGUUUUAGAAUUCAGGACAGGGAAAAAUAGAAAAUUAUUCCAUCCCAAAUUUGCAAUCCACAUACAUUGUUGUUCUGCCCUCAGAAAAAUAUGGCUCCUUCUCCUCGGACGGCAGGGUCAGGUAUGAUAUUAAGAAGGAAUGACGGGAGCGUAAUCUUUGCUGCGUACCGUCACUUAUUCUUUUGUGAUAAUGCUCUUGAAGCCGAGCUCCAUGCAAUCAGUGGUGAUUCAAUCGGAUUUCUCAACAGCCUUGAUCUGUUGGCUUAUGGUCAUCUUAUUUUAGAGAUCAGAGUCUUAUGGUCGGUGCUCGGUAGGGAGUUUGUUCCAAUGAAAAUUUACAGGGACCAGAACAGAGUGGCAGAUCAUGGUAGAACUGUCUAUAACAGAGCUUGUUAA
Molecule: ribosomal RNA, 2178 nt
Filed under: Triticum aestivum (bread wheat)
Lineage: Eukaryota; Viridiplantae; Streptophyta; Magnoliopsida; Poales; Poaceae
Description: partial small subunit ribosomal RNA
Source: RNAcentral